CCUACGGGAGGCAGCAGUGGGGAAUAUUGCACAAUGGGGGAAACCCUGAUGCAGCGACGCCGCGUGAGUGAAGAAGUAUUUCGGUAUGUAAAGCUCUAUUAGCAGGGAAGAAGAAAGACGGUACCUGACUACGAAGACCCGGCUAACUACGUGCCAGCAGCCGCGGUAAUACGUAGGGGGCAAGCGUUAUCCGGAUUUACUGGGUGUAAAGGGAGCGUAGACGGCUGUGUAAGUCUGAAGUGAAAGCCCGGGGCUCAACCCUGGUACUGCAUUGGAAACUGUGGAGCUAGAGUGCUGGAGAGGUAAGUGGAAUUCCUAGUGUAGCGGUGAAAUGCGUAGAUAUCAGGAGGAACACCAGUGGCGAAGGCGGCUUACUGGACAGUAACUGACGUUGAGGCUCGAAAGCGUGGGGAGCAAACAGGAUUAGAUACCCUGGUAGUC
RNAcentral lists this ribosomal RNA (441 nucleotides) under uncultured bacterium. Its description in RNAcentral is "partial 16S ribosomal RNA". It matches the Rfam family "Bacterial small subunit ribosomal RNA", at positions 338 to 795 of the family's 1533-position model. The record is from RNAcentral.